UACGUAGGGGGCAAGCGUUGUCCGGAAUCAUUGGGCGUAAAGCGCGCGUAGGCGGCCCGAUAAGUCCGCUGUAAAAGUCAACGGCUCAACUGUUGAAAGCCGGUGGAUACUGUCGGGCUAGAGUCCGGAAGAGGCAAGUGGAAUUCCUGGUGUAGCGGUGAAAUGCGUAGAUAUCUGGAGGAACACCGGUGGCGAAGGCGGCAUCCUGGACCGGUAUUGACGCUGAGGCGCGAAAGCCAGGGGAGCAAACGGG
RNAcentral lists this ribosomal RNA (253 nucleotides) under uncultured bacterium. RNAcentral describes it as "partial 16S ribosomal RNA". It matches the Rfam family "Bacterial small subunit ribosomal RNA", at positions 524 to 776 of the family's 1533-position model. The record is from RNAcentral.